Gopherus agassizii (Agassiz's desert tortoise) is the source of this 1828-nucleotide long non-coding RNA. NCBI's taxonomy places the organism in Eukaryota, Metazoa, Chordata, Testudines, Testudinidae. The record is from Ensembl.
AUGGGUGGACGCGAAUCCGGAGGAAUGAAGAUGAGGAAGGUUAUGUGCCAACAUCCUAUGUUGAAGUCUAUUUGGACAAAAAUGCCAAAGAUUCCUAAAGGUGUUUGUGCUGGUGCAAGAAGCUGGGGCGAGCUUGUCACAGAAGGAGAAACAAAUGGUCUGUUUACCCUGCAGGCAGUUAAAAUUUGCCCAUACAAACAGACUCCUGGUCUGGUGUGGAGUCAGCACUUGAAAAAACUGAAAUCUAAAUUCCAUCCCAACAUUACUCAGCCGCUUGCUCUUUUUUAUGGCAUGUUACUUGUGGCUCAGACUAACUUACUGACGUUUCCCAUUGUUCUGCCAACUGGGCAUUGCCCUUCUGUAGAGCAUAACCAACAAACCCCACCCACCCCCACCACUAUCUUACCCACAACCAGACACAAACGGCUGGCUGCACUUGGAUGCAAAGAGUAACCAGAGAAUCCCAUGCAUGUGCUAGUUGGGAUUCUAUCCUCCCGUGGCCCUCAGCCCAUCUGAAUGUCUGCACUGGUCCAUCAGCAUUUCACAUGGUGCCUUUAGUGCUAAUCCUGCAGGCAGACUCAUCAGACAGCUAGGGAAGGAGGUACAUACAAGUGGAAAGCCAGUUAACAGGAACAAUAUGACAGCAGCUGGACUGACCCCCGAAUCAGAUUAUGUUAAACUUUACACACCCAUUAUUCCAUAUUACACCUUCCCCAAAAGAUCCCAAAUGUCAAUCAGCCUUUUUACUUUUUACAAAUGGCUGGUGCUCCCUCGAAGCAUUCAAUCCCCGUUGGCUUUUGCUGUGUCCUGCGAGCCUAGCAACUCAUGAGUGUCUGCUUGCUUUCCUGCUCACUCUCACAAACAAACACACACAAUGGAAUUUUGGUUUAAAGUCACAUUUUCCCCCUCACCAAGACCUCCAUUUGAAUCUUGUUUCAGCCUGCAUGCUCGCCCUGUUGCCUUGCCUGCGCAUACCUUCCUAACGGCUCGUUCUUCUGAAUCUCUUUCCAGUUUUUUAGCAUUUCAGACCUGCCUUCUCCCUUUGCAUGAGCUCCUGUGCACUCUCAUCAGUGUGAACAGCAGAAAUUACGUUAAAAAAAAAACGGCAUUCCCCUCCCCUCCUCCAUCUCGCCACGGACUGGACUUUUGCCCAGGCGUUUCAGACAGGAACCCGGACUUAUCCAUCAUCAAGUAUCAACCAUCCUGUUGUCAUGUGAUCUUAUUUAAAGGAGAAACAUUUUGAUGGUGGUGCUGUACCUAGUGCAGAGGAAGUUAUUUUGCUUCCAAAUAUCAAGUGAUCUGGAGCCAAACUCCCUAAAGAGGGGUCAGGUUGCUUUCUAAGCUCCUAAAACUGAGUUUCUUGCUCUCCUUCUCCCAAAAUCUUCACAUAACUAGGCUAUUGCAGAAAUCAGAUACCUCCUCAAACCUUGUCUAACAGCAGCCAGUGGGUAAUAAGAUCAGCUUUCCAAGACCUGUCUUAGUAGCGGGGGGAAAUCCCAGCUCUUAAGAAAUAUCCUGGAUUUUUUGUAAAAGGCCCGGAAUAAGAGAGAAUUAAAAUGGAUGCCAUCAUGGCUAGUGGCCCUAAAAUGAGACCUGUCAGCUUUGGUUUGCAGGCAGGCCUGUGCAUGUUGCAAUGCUGUACCCUGUUCUUGUGAGCAGGGACAAUAGUAAAAUAUAGUAUCCAAGAAUUGUGCAUUCUUCUGUAGGGUAUCACCUAGCUCUUCCCAUUUUAGGAUGAGGUGGUUGUCUUUAAGGUGGGUUAAAUGUUGUGUUCACAGUUUUGUCCCUCUUAAAAUAAUAAUAAUAAAAAUCCUCAUUUUUAAUAGCA